RNAcentral lists this ribosomal RNA (576 nucleotides) under uncultured bacterium. Its description in RNAcentral is "bacterial SSU rRNA". It matches the Rfam family "Bacterial small subunit ribosomal RNA", at positions 245 to 819 of the family's 1533-position model. The record is from RNAcentral.
UUAGUUGGUAAGGUAACGGCCUACCAAGACGAUGAUGCGUAGCCGGGCUGAGAGGCUGAACGGCCACAUUGGGACUGAGACACGGCCCAGACUCCUACGGGAGGCAGCAGUAGGGAAUUUUCGGCAAUGGGGGAAACCCUGACCGAGCAACGCCGCGUGAGUGAUGAAAGUCUUCGGAUUGUAAAGCUCUGUUAUAAGGGAAGAACGUCCCGGAUAGUCUCCGGGAGUGACGGUACCUUAUCAGAAAGCUACGGCUAACUACGUGCCAGCAGCCGCGGUAAUACGUAGGUAGCGAGCGUUAUCCGGAAUUAUUGGGCGUAAAGGGUGCGUAGGCGGCUUGUUAAGUUUAAGGUGAAAGCGUGGGGCUCAACCCCAUAAAGCCUUAGAUACUGACGAGCUAGAGUACUGGAGAGGGUAGUGGAAUUCCAUGUGUAGCGGUAAAAUGCGUAGAUAUAUGGAGGAACACCGGUGGCGAAGGCGGCUACCUAGACAGAGACUGACGCUGAUGCACGAAAGCGUGGGGAGCAAAUAGGAUUAGAUACCCUAGUAGUCCACGCUGUAAACGAUGAAUACUAG